CUUUUAGCUGAUUUCAAAUGAUUUCAAUUUUUCGAUUUCAUUAAUCAGUUCAACUGCUUGAGGACAACUCAGUAAAAUUACAGCGGAUGACGAAAUUAGAUAUUGUAUGAACAUCUCGCAUAAAUUUGCAUAAGAUUCAUUCUUCAACGAAUGAAUAAAUAACUCAUGAGUUUAUAAAAUGGUCGCCGGGUCUAAAGUGUUGAUGUGAAGUUCAAAAGAAAGUCAAUCUCUGAUAAUACUUCGUUAAAACAUCAAAAAUGAGGUUUUCGGGUCCGCUUGCAUAGAUAUACAUGUCGACAAGGACGGUAUCAAGGGACUCUACAAAUUUGCGCGCAGGGCACAGAUACUCGAGGCAGAGUGUAAAACGGCCGAAAGGCUGAUUACACUUCUGGACAAAUCAGUAUUUUUAGAGAUACGGGGACGAUGGCUUUAAUAAUACGGACAAAGUACAGAUUCAAUUGGAAUUAAUCGGGGCUCGUUUGGAUGAUUAUGUGGAUAGAACGAUGCUUUGUGAGUACGGUCAUUAUAUUUUGGGCAAUGCUUUUUUUAUUACAAAUGAAAUUUUA
Long non-coding RNA from Diachasmimorpha longicaudata, 566 nucleotides. RefSeq lists it as uncharacterized. The record is from RefSeq and is a predicted model, not a curated record. Lineage: Eukaryota; Metazoa; Arthropoda; Insecta; Hymenoptera; Braconidae. The transcript has 3 exons.